RNAcentral lists this long non-coding RNA (2160 nucleotides) under Coffea arabica (coffee). RNAcentral's name for it is "long non-coding RNA (CARA_LNC004405)". The record is from RNAcentral. Lineage: Eukaryota; Viridiplantae; Streptophyta; Magnoliopsida; Gentianales; Rubiaceae.
AUGGCCGAACCAUAGAGAGAGGAAGAGAGAGAGACUCCAAUUCUUCUUGAAAUUCUUGAAGACCCAAACUUCCCUUUCACCAAACUACUUAAACUUUUGAAAGAUCUUGAAGGAAAAGGCUCCUAGGAGUGGAUCUUGCCAUUUUCUUGGGUUAAUUUUGCUAAAGAUUGGAGCUUUGAAGAGGUAAGUGGCUAAUCUACUUCAUUCUUUUGCUUUUCAAGCAAUUUUGGACUAAAUCUUGGUAGAUCUAUGGUAUUUAUAGAAAACCCAUGGUGGGUUUGAAAGUUUUAAAAAAAUUUGGUACUCGGUGCUUUAAUGAUCUUGGUAUGCUUAUAUCUUGAUAUAUUUGGCUAGAAUUUGAUGGAUUCUUGUCUCUUGUGAUCCUAAAGUUAAUGAUUGAUGAAACCCAUGAGGAUUUGAGUGUGAUUUAUAGUGGAUUGUUGGUGAAAAUUGGAGUAUAUAUAUAUGCUAAAAUUUCUGUUUAGAUGGCCAAUUAUCAUGGACAAAUUUCAUCUUUACCUUGAAUUUGUGGCUUUUUUUGUACACUUGUACUGAAAUUUUUUUUAGGAAAUUUGAUGCUACUUGAAUCUAUGUAUGUUGGUUGGAUUAUGUUAAAAAAAUUUGUAAGAAAAUGAAGUGGUGAUGUGGGUUAUCUAGUUGGAAAAAGUAAAGUUGAAAAAGCUAGAAAAAUGGCCUAAGUUGGCCAAAUUUGUGAGCCAAAAACUCCAACUUUAAUUUUCUAUUUUAAAAACUGUUUUGGGUGAAAUUUAGUUCAAAAGAUUCUAUUGGACUUUGAUUUUGGUAUGUAUAAUGAUUUUGGAUCAAAAUUUUGAAGUUAAAAAGAGUGGAAAGUAAGAUUUCCUCCAAAAAUUAGUGGUUGACAACUUUAUGGAUUGAUUUGACUUUGGAUCCUUGUUUUAAUGAAGUUUUGGUUGGUCUAGUUCAAGAAACCUUAUUAAACUUUGAUCUUGGUUUGUGAAAUGAUUUUUGGGACAAAAACUACGAAAGUAAGUAAUUGAAAAAGUAGACUUUUGCUAUGAUUUGUUUGCUAGAAAACUUGUAGGAGUGAAAAGUCUUGUUCAAACUUUUGAAAUGUUUUUACCUUAAUGAAAAGUUGUAUUUUUACCUGAAUUGCCGAUUUGAAAACCUGAAUGGGUUGAAGUGUUUAGGACACUAAAGUCGAUUAAUUUGAAAACAAAGUUUUCGUACUUAAGUGAAUUGAUUUGGUGAAUACUAAGGGUUCACUUAUAUGUUGUAAUUGUUUGCUAGGGCUACAAUCUGAACUUGCAGGCGAUCCUUCUGUAGAUGGUUAAGUGCUAUUUGGUGAGUGUUCUAAGUGCAUGGUAGCACUAUACAAAUGCUUGAUAUGUUAAUGAGCUUGAGAAAAUGAUAUGAUUAUAAACUGUCAUUCUUUUGAACUUGUUUAUGAACGAGCAAGUGUAUACAUUACCACACUCGACCCUAUUGAAUUGUUAUUGCUAUAAGUGAAUGUGAUAUGAUAUUAAUGAUAUGUGGGGGCCCAAAACUCAAUGGCUAGUUAUUCGAGAUUGAGCCGGCAAUGGCUUGGUCAACUCGAUUAGCGAACCUUGGGUAGUGUAUCUAUGUUGGAUCCAUACUAUUCUGGGUAUAUUUGAGUAAUACCAAUCAUUGAAAUUUUGUUAGUGUGCGGGCCCGGUAGGGGGUGAAAGGUGGACGAAGUGGUGUGACGUGGUGAUUCUACAUGACAUGAAAGUUGACGGAGUGUCAACUACUUGAAUUACUGAUUGAUAAAGUAUUUGCUAGUACUCAGUAUACUUAAUGAUUGACAUAUCGAUUUUAAUGAUGUGCUUAUAUGAUACCUUUUGUUUAUGUUUCUUGUUGACUUAAAAUGUGAAAUUAUUGCUUUCUUAAAUUGCAUGUCUUUCUUAGACCUCACGUGGUGCAAACUCAUACCUUUUCUUUUGUUUUUCUUAGCAGGGUAGGUUCGUGAUUCAGGGAAUUAGCACUUAGCUUUUAUUUUAGUUAGACUAAGUGAUUAGGGUACUACAUUAUUUUGAAUGUGAAUUGUAAGCUUAAACCCUCUUUUGUAUUUUAAGUUAUUUCGAUAGACAACUGUAUGUAUUAGUUGUAUUUAGCGCGUAUUUUGUGGUAAAAUUGGAUAUUGGGCUUGGCUUUGUGGUU